CAAUGAUGUGUUGGUUGGAUGUUAGUGCUGCCUGCCAUGACCAUCACAUUGGUGUCAAACAAACAAUACAAUGUUUCAAUGGCUUUGCACGUGACCCACGCGUGAUCUAUGGCUUUUCCAUCGGAUCAAAUCAUUGUAGGUGCAGGAUCGUUUGCACGACCAAAACGAGUCGUUCAGAAGAGUUCUAAUCAAUACAAGAGGCGGAAACAGGCGUAUCGGAGUUGAAUCAGCUUGAUAUACACUUUAACUGUCUUGUUUAUUGAUUUAACAACGUUUUACAGCCUAGAGACACUUCGGCAGCACCUCGGCACCGGAAUCACAAAGUUACAAACGAAAUGAUUAAGGCCACUAUAUAUAGAGGAUUCAUUUCGCACGAAACAGUCUCAAGCGAAAUGGACUUUGCAUUUCGUACGAAAUGGAUACAUCCAUUUCGCGCGAAAUGACCUCAUCUACUCUGAAACUCUAUUUUCUCGUACAACGUGCCCUGAUCUUUCUAAUCUAUCACAAGACUCGAUACAAGACGAAGUCGACAGGCAUAUGCACCAACAGACUCCCCCUUGGAUGUUGACGAAGUCUUCAGUGUCAAGUCUUCAAUAUCUUCAGUCUUUAUAAGUCUUCUCGCUCUUUCCAAAGAAUUCUCCAUUAUCUCUUGAUUCCUUAAGUUCAUCAGCAUCAGCAGCUUGUGUGAACAACAGGAUUCAAAACUGUCUCUUGCAUCUUCAGACUCCCCUUUGCUAGCAGACUCCCCCUUAAGUUGUUCCGGGAUCGCAAUCUGACAUAGCUCUUGCUUUAAGAUCAUAACCUGGCUCACAUUCUGCUCAGGCUUUAUGCGGAAAGUCUUCAGGAAUCGAAUCCUGGCUCCUUCAAAGCUGAUUCCUGCACAAACGUCUACCUCAAAAUAAAUUUCACAAAUUUAAAAUUUGACAAAUUUAUAAACCACUUGCAGAUAUCGUUCAAAAAUGAUUUAACAUAUAAAAUCUCUGAUAACCACUUGUAAGAAUAACAUUCAGAUUUGACAUUUUUAUUUCUAAAUCUUUUCGCAUUCCAAACAAACUCC
Long non-coding RNA from Helianthus annuus (common sunflower), 1057 nucleotides. RefSeq lists it as uncharacterized. The record is from RefSeq and is a predicted model, not a curated record. The transcript has 3 exons. Lineage: Eukaryota; Viridiplantae; Streptophyta; Magnoliopsida; Asterales; Asteraceae.